Molecule: ribosomal RNA, 423 nt
Filed under: uncultured bacterium
Lineage: Bacteria
Description: bacterial SSU rRNA
Rfam family: Bacterial small subunit ribosomal RNA
Source: RNAcentral
CGGGAAUUUUGGGCAAUGGGCGAAAGCCUGACCCAGCAACGCCGCGUGAAGGAUGAAAUCCUUCGGGAUGUAAACUUCGCAAGAACGGGAAGAAUAAGUAAGAGUUAAUAUCCCUUACGAUGACGGUACUGUUUGUAAGCUCCGGCUAACUCCGUGCCAGCAGCCGCGGUAAUACGGGGGGAGCAAGCGUUGUUCGGAUUUACUGGGCGUAAAGGGCGCGUAGGCGGCCACCGCAAGUCGACUGUGAAAUCUCCGGGCUUAACCCGGAAAGGUCAGCCGAUACUGCGGGGCUAGAGUGCAGAAGGGGCAACUGGAAUUCCUGGUGUAGCGGUGAAAUGCGCAGAUAUCAGGAGGAACACCGGUGGCGAAGGCGGGUCUCUGGGCCGAUACUGACGCUGAGGAGCGAAAGCGUGGGGAGCGAAC